UACGUAGGGGGCAAGCGUUGUCCGGAUUUAUUGGGCGUAAAGAGCGCGCAGGCGGUCGUUCAAGUCGAGUGUGAAAGCCCCCGGCUCAACUGGGGAGGGUCAUUCGAUACUGAUCGACUCGAAGGCAGGAGAGGGUAGUGGAAUUCCCGGUGUAGUGGUGAAAUGCGUAGAUAUCGGGAGGAACACCAGUGGCGAAGGCGACUACCUGGCCUGUUCUUGACGCUGAGGCGCGAAAGCUAGGGGAGCAAACGGG
This 253-nucleotide ribosomal RNA is filed under the name uncultured bacterium. RNAcentral describes it as "partial 16S ribosomal RNA". It matches the Rfam family "Bacterial small subunit ribosomal RNA", at positions 524 to 776 of the family's 1533-position model. The record is from RNAcentral.